AAAAAUUUAGUUAAUAUACUAUAACAUUAGUUUGUCAAACUAAAAUAAUUAAAAAAUAAUUUUUA
RNAcentral lists this transfer RNA (65 nucleotides) under Bostrichoidea sp. 4 KM-2017. RNAcentral's name for it is "tRNA-Asp". The record is from RNAcentral. Lineage: Eukaryota; Metazoa; Arthropoda; Insecta; Coleoptera.